GCCUAGUUAGCUUAGUUGGUAGUGCGUCGGCCUUGUAAGCGCUAGACCGCGGGUUCGAUUCCCGCCCGGGGCG
This 73-nucleotide transfer RNA is filed under the name Diaphorina citri (Asian citrus psyllid). It matches the Rfam family "tRNA". Rfam says of the family: Transfer RNA (tRNA) molecules are approximately 80 nucleotides in length. Their secondary structure includes four short double-helical elements and three loops (D, anti-codon, and T loops). The record is from Rfam by way of RNAcentral. Lineage: Eukaryota; Metazoa; Arthropoda; Insecta; Hemiptera; Psyllidae.